Molecule: ribosomal RNA, 635 nt
Filed under: actinobacterium TH-G43
Lineage: Bacteria; Bacillati; Actinomycetota; Actinomycetes
Description: bacterial SSU rRNA
Rfam family: Bacterial small subunit ribosomal RNA
Source: RNAcentral
GGCGGCGUGCUUACACAUGCAAGUCGAGCGGUAAGGCCUUUCGGGGUACACGAGCGGCGAACGGGUGAGUAACACGUGGGUGAUCUGCCCUGCACUUCGGGAUAAGCCUGGGAAACUGGGUCUAAUACCGGAUAUGACCUCCUGUCGCAUGGUGUGUGGUGGAAAGAUUUAUCGGUGCAGGAUGGGCCCGCGGCCUAUCAGCUUGUUGGUGGGGUAAUGGCCUACCAAGGCGACGACGGGUAGCCGACCUGAGAGGGUGACCGGCCACACUGGGACUGAGACACGGCCCAGACUCCUACGGGAGGCAGCAGUGGGGAAUAUUGCACAAUGGGCGAAAGCCUGAUGCAGCGACGCCGCGUGAGGGAUGACGGCCUUCGGGUUGUAAACCUCUUUCAGCAGGGACGAAGCGCAAGUGACGGUACCUGCAGAAGAAGCACCGGCUAACUACGUGCCAGCAGCCGCGGUAAUACGUAGGGUGCAAGCGUUGUCCGGAAUUACUGGGCGUAAAGAGUUCGUAGGCGGUUUGUCGCGUCGUUUGUGAAAACCAGCAGCUCAACUGCUGGCUUGCAGGCGAUACGGGCAGACUUGAGUACUGCAGGGGAGACUGGAAUUCCUGGUGUAGCGGUGAAAUGCGC